RNAcentral lists this ribosomal RNA (506 nucleotides) under uncultured bacterium. RNAcentral's name for it is "partial 16S ribosomal RNA". It matches the Rfam family "Bacterial small subunit ribosomal RNA", at positions 30 to 523 of the family's 1533-position model. The record is from RNAcentral.
AUUGAACGCUGGCGGCAGGCUUAACACAUGCAAGUCGAGGGGUAACAAGAGGAAAGCUUGCUUUUCUUGUUGACGACCGGCGCACGGGUGAGUAACGCGUAUCCAACCUGCCUAUAACUAGGGAAUAACCUUGCGAGAGUAAGACUAAUACCCUAUGAUUUCCUUUGAUGACAUCAGAUUAGGAAUAAAGAUUUAUCGGUUAUAGAUGGGGAUGCGUCUGAUUAGCUUGUUGGCGGGGUAACGGCCCACCAAGGCAACGAUCAGUAGGGGUUCUGAGAGGAAGGUCCCCCACAUUGGAACUGAGACACGGUCCAAACUCCUACGGGAGGCAGCAGUGAGGAAUAUUGGUCAAUGGGCGGAAGCCUGAACCAGCCAAGUAGCGUGCAGGAUGACGGCCCUAUGGGUUGUAAACUGCUUUUAUACAGGAAUAAAGUUAGCCACGUGUGGUUAUUUGUAGGUACUGUAUGAAUAAGGACCGGCUAAUUCCGUGCCAGCAGCCGCCGUAA